GAUUCGCUAACUCAGUUGGUAGAGUACAACACUUUUAAUGUUGAGGUCAUAGGUUCGAGUCCUAUGCGAAUCA
This 73-nucleotide transfer RNA is filed under the name Caudoviricetes sp. RNAcentral's name for it is "tRNA-Lys". It matches the Rfam family "tRNA". Rfam says of the family: Transfer RNA (tRNA) molecules are approximately 80 nucleotides in length. Their secondary structure includes four short double-helical elements and three loops (D, anti-codon, and T loops). The record is from RNAcentral. Lineage: Duplodnaviria; Heunggongvirae; Uroviricota; Caudoviricetes.